UCCUCGCGGAGCGAGGCGCGGUCGCAGCCUGGGAGGACUCGCCUUGGCGCCGCGGAAUUCUCCGGGUUUCCACGCAGGGUCAGGGUUCCUUCCGGCUGGCCACCUCUCGCCACAGUGUCCUCCCAUCAAAAGGACGGCUACUUUCUGGGGAAAGGCCUAGGCUGCAGACGUGACACAAAUUAUGCUCGCAUGACGGGCGCCUCCGAGUUGGCCUAGAGAGGUUGCCGUGGGGACUGUGCAGCAGGAGGGAGUCUGCCUGGCGAGGAUGUCACGUUGCUCUUCAGCCAGGAAACAAACAAACAAAGCAAAAACAUCUAUUCAUCUGGAUUUUAUUCAUUUGUUUUAAAUACAAACAAAAGGAGAGAGGAGACAUGGUUAUUUCUGCAGCAACUAUUUCAAAUGCAACUUAUUCCAUCGCUCCAGGUGUUCCAAUGGUGUUUGUCACCGUAAGACCCACGGGGCUAGUUCCGACCAUUAUACGUAUUUCAAUGCCGCAUUCCAAAAGGGGAACACCUGCCACUUCUUCAAAGUCAGCUGAUCAUUUGGAAUGAUGGACGGCACGGCUGCCGAUGACGUUCCCCUUUCAAGUCUCUUUGUCUAAGUGAAUUAUCGUGCAUCCUUUUAAUUUUAUUGAACAAAUUACAUUUGUCAAGGUCUAUCUUUGUAAAUAAAUGAUAACUAGAGACACA
RNAcentral lists this long non-coding RNA (689 nucleotides) under Bos indicus x Bos taurus (hybrid cattle). Its description in RNAcentral is "lncRNA (ENSBIXG00000006551.1)". The record is from RNAcentral. Lineage: Eukaryota; Metazoa; Chordata; Mammalia; Artiodactyla; Bovidae.